ACUAACAAGUGUGUCGAUGGUUUU
RNAcentral lists this non-coding RNA (24 nucleotides) under Arabidopsis thaliana (thale cress). The record is from RNAcentral. Lineage: Eukaryota; Viridiplantae; Streptophyta; Magnoliopsida; Brassicales; Brassicaceae.